GACGAACGCUGGCGGCGUGCCUAAUACAUGCAAGUUGAGCGCUGAAGGUUGGUACUUGUUCCAACUGGAUUAGCAGCGAACGUGUGAGUAACGCGUGGGCAAUCUGGCUUUGAGCGGGGGACAACAGUUGGAAACGAAGGCUAAUACCGCAUAAAAACUUUAAACACAAGUUUUAAGGUUGAAAGAUGCAAUUGCAUCACUCAAAGAUGAUCACACGUUGUAUUAGCUAGUUGGUGAGGUAAAGGCUCAACAAGGCGAUGAUACAUAGCCGACCUGAGAGGGUGAUCGGCCACAGUGGGACUGAGACACGGCCCAACCUCCUACGGGAGGCAGCAGUAGGGAAUCUUCGGCAAUGGACGAAAGUCUGACCGAGCAACGCCGCGUGAGUGAAGAAGGUUUUCGGAUCGUAAAACUCUGUUGGUAGAGAAGAACGUUUGUGAGAGUGGAAAGCUCAUCAAGUGACGGUAACUACCCAGAAAGGGACGGCUAACUACGUG
Molecule: ribosomal RNA, 497 nt
Filed under: uncultured bacterium
Lineage: Bacteria
Description: partial 16S ribosomal RNA
Rfam family: Bacterial small subunit ribosomal RNA
Source: RNAcentral